This 492-nucleotide ribosomal RNA is filed under the name uncultured bacterium. Its description in RNAcentral is "partial 16S ribosomal RNA". It matches the Rfam family "Bacterial small subunit ribosomal RNA", at positions 29 to 507 of the family's 1533-position model. The record is from RNAcentral.
AGUGAACGCUGGCGGUAGGCCUAACACAUGCAAGUCGAACGGCAGCACAGUAAGAGCUUGCUCUUACGGGUGGCGAGUGGCGGACGGGUGAGGAAUACAUCGGAAUCUACUUUUUCGUGGGGGAUAACGUAGGGAAACUUACGCUAAUACCGCAUACGACCUACGGGUGAAAGCAGGGGAUCUUCGGACCUUGCGCGAUUGAAUGAGCCGAUGUCGGAUUAGCUAGUUGGCGGGGUAAAGGACCACCAAGGCGACGCUACGUAGCUGGUCUGAGAGGAUGAUCAGCCACACUGGAACUGAGACACGGUCCAGACUCCUACGGGAGGCAGCAGUGGGGAAUAUUGGACGAUGGGCGCAAGCCUGAUCCAGCCAUACCGCGUGGGAGAGGAAGGCCUCCGGGUUGUAAAGCCCUUUUGUUGGGAAAGAAAAGCAGCAGGUUAAUACCCCGCGGUUCUGACGGUACCCAAAGAAUAAGCACCGGCUAACUUCGUG